AGUGAACGCUGGCGGUAGGCCUAACACAUGCACGUCGAACGAGUGGCGGACGGGUGAGGAAUACCUCGGAAUCUACUCUGUCGUUGGGGAUAACUUAGGGAAACUUACGCUAAUACCGCAUACGAUUGAAUGAGCCGAUUUCGGAUUAGCUCGUUGGUGGGGUAAAGGCGCACAAAGGCGACGAUCCAUAGCUGGUCUGAGAGGAUGACCAGCCACACGGGAACUGAGACACGGUCCAGACUCCUAAGGGAGGCAGCAGUGGGGAAUAUUGGACAAUGGGCGCAAGCCUGAUGCAGCCAUACCGCGUGGGUGAAGAAGGCCUUCGGGUUGUAAAGCACUUUUGUUGGGGAAGCGGUACCCAAAGAAGAAGCACCGGCUAACUUCGUGCCAGCAGCCGCGGUAAUUC
This 406-nucleotide ribosomal RNA is filed under the name uncultured bacterium. Its description in RNAcentral is "partial 16S ribosomal RNA". It matches the Rfam family "Bacterial small subunit ribosomal RNA", at positions 29 to 526 of the family's 1533-position model. The record is from RNAcentral.